GAUGAACGCUGGCGGCGUGCCUAAUACAUGCAAGUCGAGCGAACGGACGAGAAGCUUGCUUCUCUGAUGUUAGCGGCGGACGGGUGAGUAACACGUGGAUAACCUACCUAUAAGACUGGGAUAACUUCGGGAAACCGGAGCUAAUACCGGAUGAUAUUUUGAACCGCAUGGUUCAAAAGUGAAAGACGGUCUUGCUGUCACUUAUAGAUGGAUCCGCGCUGCAUUAGCUAGUUGGUAAGGUAACGGCUUACCAAGGCAACGAUGCAUAGCCGACCUGAGAGGGUGAUCGGCCACACUGGAACUGAGACACGGUCCAGACUCCUACGGGAGGCAGCAGUAGGGAAUCUUCCGCAAAGGGCGAAAGCCUGACGGAGCGACGCCGCGUGAGUGAUGAAGGUCUUCGGAUCGUAAAACUCUGUUAUUAGGGAAGAACAUAUGUGUAAGUAACUGUGCACAUCUUGACGGUACCUAAUCAGAAAGCCACGGUUAACUACGUG
Molecule: ribosomal RNA, 497 nt
Filed under: uncultured bacterium
Lineage: Bacteria
Description: partial 16S ribosomal RNA
Rfam family: Bacterial small subunit ribosomal RNA
Source: RNAcentral